UACGGGGGGAGCAAGCGUUGUUCGGAUUUACUGGGCGUAAAGGGCGCGUAGGCGGUCAGCACAAGUCAGUUGUGAAAUCUCCGGGCUUAACUCGGAAAGGUCAACUGAUACUGCGCGGCUAGAGUGCGGAAGGGGCAACUGGAAUUCUUGGUGUAGCGGUGAAAUGCGUAGAUAUCAAGAGGAACACCUGCGGCGAAGGCGGGUUGCUGGGCCGACACUGACGCUGAUGCGCGAAAGCCAGGGGAGCGAACGGG
This 254-nucleotide ribosomal RNA is filed under the name uncultured bacterium. RNAcentral describes it as "partial 16S ribosomal RNA". It matches the Rfam family "Bacterial small subunit ribosomal RNA", at positions 524 to 776 of the family's 1533-position model. The record is from RNAcentral.